AGAGUUUGAUCCUGGCUCAGAACGAACGCUGGCGGCAUGCCUCAUACAUGCAAGUCGAACGCAGGCUUCGGCCUGAGUGGCGCACGGGUGAGUAGCGCGUGGGAACCUACCCUUUUGUUGGGAAUAACCGAGGGAAACUUCGGCUAAUACCCGAUACGCCGGGAAACCGGGAAAGAUUUAUCGCAGAAGGAUGGGCCCGC
RNAcentral lists this ribosomal RNA (200 nucleotides) under uncultured bacterium. RNAcentral's name for it is "partial 16S ribosomal RNA". It matches the Rfam family "Bacterial small subunit ribosomal RNA", at positions 8 to 234 of the family's 1533-position model. The record is from RNAcentral.